GACGAACGCUGGCGGCGUGCUUAACACAUGCAAGUCGAACGGAAAGGCCCUGCUUUUGUGGGGUGCUCGAGUGGCGAACGGGUGAGUAACACGUGAGUAACCUGCCCUUGACUUUGGGAUAACUUCAGGAAACUGGGGCUAAUACCGGAUAGGAGCUCCUGCUGCAUGGUGGGGGUUGGAAAGUUUCGGCGGUUGGGGAUGGACUGGCGGCUUAUCAGCUUGUUGGUGGGGUAGUGGCUUACCAAGGCUUUGACGGGUAGCCGGCCUGAGAGGGUGACCGGCCACAUGGGGACUGAGGUACGGCCCAGACUCCUACGGGAGGCAGCAGUGGGGAAUAUUGCACAAUGGGCGGAAGCCUGAGGCAGCAACGCCGCGUGCGGGAUGACGGCCUUCGGGUUGUAAACCGCUUUCGCCUGUGACGAAGCGUGAGUGACGGUAAUGGGUAAAGAAGCACCGGCUAACUACGUG
This 468-nucleotide ribosomal RNA is filed under the name uncultured bacterium. RNAcentral's name for it is "partial 16S ribosomal RNA". It matches the Rfam family "Bacterial small subunit ribosomal RNA", at positions 28 to 507 of the family's 1533-position model. The record is from RNAcentral.